This 1018-nucleotide long non-coding RNA is filed under the name Homo sapiens (human). RNAcentral's name for it is "HSALNT0221554". The record is from RNAcentral. Lineage: Eukaryota; Metazoa; Chordata; Mammalia; Primates; Hominidae.
CCUUGCCCGGCCUACCUCCCCUCCCGCCGCCGCGCUCCGCCCGGCCCAGCCGAGGGCCCGCCCCUUCGCGCCCCAGCCAGCUCCACCGUACGGGUUGUGCCCGCCCCUCCCAGACCCCGAUCACCCGCAGCUACGAGAGUUGCCGCCGCCAGUGUGUGCCGGGCGACGUCGCCCACGCCCCUGCCAGCCAUCCUCACAGCAGCAGCAGCCCUGGUAGAAAUUGAUGUGGGCACCCUCUCGACCCGCCCCUGUACUUGUCUUUGUCCCAGCUCUGCGGACUGAGCCUACCUCUCUUCCUUGGGGUAUUAAUGCUACCUAUUGUCUCUCUUGAAUCUUUUCCCUCCAAAACUGCACAGAAGGAGCCAUUUAACACCCAGGGAAACUGAGGCUUAGAGUGCUGCAAUGCUUGCCCAAGAUCCCACAGCCAGAUGGGUAAAUCUAGGAUUCACACCGAGAUCUUUGGAAAACCAAAAGACUUUUCCUCUGCUUUUCAGCCUCCAGAAUUCUCUGAAUUGCUUAAGUCUCUGGCCUCAAAUGCCCCAAGAUCCUCCUUGGGAGACCUCUCUGACAGGGAGCUUGGGGGAGAGCAGAGGGGCAUUGACUUAACUCUGCUGGAGGGAUCUUCUGAGGAAGAAACUUCUCCUUCUGCAUCCAGGCUGUGCUGGGCCCUGGACUCAGAGGAGAGGUGGUCCCAUGCCAUUGGAUUGCAUCUAUGACUUCGGGAGGUAGGGCGAAGACUGGUCCCCCAGACACCACAGAGCUUCCCAUCUUCUUUUGCCAGAUUUUAUCAGAAUUUGCUAAGGUGGUCUCAGAACCACAUUUCUUGUGGAGGGGUUUCAGCCCUGCUUAUAUAAAUUUGAUAUAAUCCACAGACCAUACAAUUCACCCAUUUAAAGUGUACAAUUUAAUAGUUUUUAGUACAUUCACAGAUAUGUGAAACUGUCACAAUCAAUUUUAGAAUAUUUUUAUCACCUCAGAAAGGAACUCUCUACACCUAGUCUAUCAAUGCUCUACCCAC